GAGUUAAACGUUUAACUCCGCCCGCAUAGCGCAGUUGAACCGUUGAAGAAGAAGAAGUUUCCAAAAUGGAGAGAAUAGAGCACGUGUUUGCUGCAAACAGCCACGUCAUUGCCACAUGGUUUCCACCAUCAUCCACAAACCCCAUGGAUCACCUGCUGGACAAUGCAGCCAGUCUCCAGUGGGUUCUGCUUCCAGUAUUUGUACCUGGACACUGGAUACUCUGUAAAUACAUUUAUAUCUUCCUCUAUUAUGACCUUACACAACAAAGUUGCUCAUUGCUGAUUUAAAUUUUUUGGUAUAUUAAAUGCAUGGCAGCUUUGUUAGUAUUUCUGUAACAUUCCAUAACUUUAUGUGUGUGGUUAUAUUUGAACACAUUUAACAGAUACUGAGGCCACAGGCUAGAGAGAUUUUCUUUCUAGAUCCCCUCUGUGGCAGCGGCUGGAGAGAUGAGAGUAGAGUCCAUCGAGUCAGGUUUUUAGGACACCUUCCAAGAUCCUUCCUGGACAGUGGUAGUUCUGUUUUAAACCACUUGUCCUUUGUUUGUUUAAUAAAUGCUUCUGUUUUUAUUUGAAUGCAUUAAGAUGUUCCAAACAAACAAAAACAAACAACAAAAGUGAGUGUUUGUGAGGGAUAGAAGUAAUUGUUACGUUAUUCUUAUUUAUUUUACAUUAUUCUAUGCAGAUGGAAACAGAACCAUAUGUUUUGUUUGUUUAAGUCCAUUACAAAAAACGUUUGAUUUGAAGUUCCAGCCUCUUCCAACUUUGUUCCAAGUGUUGCUUUAAAAUGGUUUAUUGUACUUUUAUUUCCUCUUUGAGCACAUUGCUCACAUCUCCUGGGCCUUGGAGGCAGCUUGGUGUGAAUGAUGUUCAGGAAAACAUGCUGCAGAUUAGAAGAUGGUGGUGUCUUGUUCUCCUGCUAUCCGAAGAAGAGAGACUGCAGCAAAGAAAAAGGCAACGAGAGCAGAAAAAACUACAGGUGAGAGGUCAUGUGAUAAAUUGGUAUAUAGUGAAACUAUUGCUCAAAGACUGAUCCCCGCCACUUAUUUCAGGAUGUGGCUGAAGUCCCCCUGAAAAUGUUUAGGCUUUCAGAAUCUGCCACUGAAGCAUCAGGUAUUGUUCCAGCCAGCAUUGUCUCACACAUAUCCAUCAAGGUUGUUGAGGUUCCAUGUCACAGAGCAGUCAUUAUUUCUCUGUGUACUUAAAAUCAACCACUUAAAUCUUGCAUUGUCAUUGUGCCUGUAUACACCACAAUCUGUUUCCUUUCUAGAUGAGGCUGAGAACAGGACUGGGAACAGGAAACGGGGAGAAUCCUUUGGUCAGGGAUGCCAUGGCGGCAGCCCGGUGGUGUGGGACCAGAGCUUUCAAGGGAAAAAUUUCCCUUCCCCAAGUUGUCCCCAUGGCCAAGGAGCAACGCGUGAGGGCAGUGGAACUCCUGUGUGUCUGUGAUGGCCAGGAAGAAGAGGAGACCGCUGAUCUCAGAGAACCGUUCCUUUUUCUUUUUAGUCUGCAGGAAGACUAUGAGACAUUCUGUCAAGAAAUCAUUGACAGGAGAAACAUGAAGGUGUUUUGUGCUUUUGACAGAAAAGAAUAAAGUUGUGUUCAACGGUG
Long non-coding RNA from Acanthochromis polyacanthus (spiny chromis), 1607 nucleotides. RefSeq lists it as uncharacterized. The record is from RefSeq and is a predicted model, not a curated record. Lineage: Eukaryota; Metazoa; Chordata; Actinopteri; Pomacentridae. The transcript has 6 exons.